Molecule: non-coding RNA, 32 nt
Filed under: Geobacter sulfurreducens PCA
Lineage: Bacteria; Pseudomonadati; Thermodesulfobacteriota; Desulfuromonadia; Geobacterales; Geobacteraceae
Source: RNAcentral
GCCGAGCACGACGAAGAGAAACUCCGCAAGUG